This 739-nucleotide ribosomal RNA is filed under the name uncultured bacterium. RNAcentral describes it as "bacterial SSU rRNA". It matches the Rfam family "Bacterial small subunit ribosomal RNA", at positions 8 to 740 of the family's 1533-position model. The record is from RNAcentral.
AGGGUUUGAUCAUGGCUCAGAAUGAACGUUGGCGGCGUGGAUUAGGCAUGCAAGUCGCACGAGAAGCUUUAGUUUGAUACUUCGGUAGAUUUCUAGGGUGGACAGUGGCGAAAGGGAGAGUAACGCGUGGAUAUCUACCCCAAGACCCGGGAUAGCUGUGGGAAACUGCAGGUAAUACCGGAUAAUGUCUCCGGACCAAAGGUGUGAUUCCGUCUUGGGAUGAGUCCGCGUCCUAUUAGGUUGUUGGUGGGGUAAUGGCCUACCAAGCCAAUGAUGGGUAGCGGGUGUGAGAGCAUGACCCGUCUCACUGGGACUGAGACACUGCCCAGACACCUACGGGUGGCUGCAGUCGAGAAUCUUCCGCAAUGGACGAAAGUCUGACGGAGCGACGCCGCGUGCGGGACGAAGGCCUUCGGGUUGUAAACCGCUGUCAGUUGGGAGGAAAUGCAUAGGGGCACUCUCCUAUGUUUGACCGAUCUUCAGAGGAAGUCCGGGCUAAGUUCGUGCCAGCAGCCGCGGUAAGACGAACCGGACAAACGUUAUUCGGAAUUACUGGGCUUAAAGAGUACGUAGGCGGCUUGGUAGGUUGGGUGUGAAAUCCCACAGCUCAACUGUGGAACUGCGCUCAAAACCACCAAGCUUGAGGGAGACAGGGGUAAGCGGAACUGAUGGUGGAGCGGUGAAAUGCGUUGAUAUCAUCAGGAACACCGGUGGCGAAGGCGGCUUACUGGGUCUUUUC